RNAcentral lists this ribosomal RNA (215 nucleotides) under Drosophila melanogaster (fruit fly). Its description in RNAcentral is "partial 18S ribosomal RNA". It matches the Rfam family "Eukaryotic small subunit ribosomal RNA", at positions 1429 to 1647 of the family's 1831-position model. The record is from RNAcentral. Lineage: Eukaryota; Metazoa; Arthropoda; Insecta; Diptera; Drosophilidae.
CUUACAUGGACAAAUUGCGUCUAGCAAUAUGAGAUUGAGCAAUAAGASGUCUGUGAUGCCCUUAGAUGUCCUGGGCUGCACGCGCGCUACAAUGAAAGUAUCAACGUGUAUUUCCUUAGAUCCGAGAGGUCCGGGUAAACCGCUGAACCACUUUGAUGCUUGGGAUUGUGAACUGAAACUGUUCACANGAACGNGGAAUUCCCAGUAAGUGUGAG